UACGUAGGGGGCAAGCGUUGUCCGGAUUUAUUGGGCGUAAAGAGCGUGUAGGCGGCCAUACAGGUCCGUUGUGAAAACUGGAGGCUUAACCUCCAGACGUCGAUGGAAACCGUAUGGCUAGAGUCCGGAAGAGGAGAGUGGAAUUCCUGGUGUAGCGGUGAAAUGCGCAGAUAUCAGGAAGAACACCCGUGGCGAAGGCGGCUCUCUGGGACGGUACUGACGCUGAGACGCGAAAGCGUAGGGAGCGAACAGG
Molecule: ribosomal RNA, 253 nt
Filed under: uncultured bacterium
Lineage: Bacteria
Description: partial 16S ribosomal RNA
Rfam family: Bacterial small subunit ribosomal RNA
Source: RNAcentral